GGUUUUCCCAGGGUGUUUUCCCAGGGUAAUUGUCUCUGAUAUGUCCUCCAUAGGAGGUCUAUAUUGAGCAGAUUCUUUUUGAUAUUGGGUGGUGGAACCGGAGCGUGCUCCAUCUACUCCAUGCAUUGACCUGGUAUUGCAGUGCUUCCAGGACCGGUGCAAAAAAA
Molecule: small nuclear RNA, 167 nt
Filed under: Crocodylus porosus (Australian saltwater crocodile)
Lineage: Eukaryota; Metazoa; Chordata; Crocodylia; Crocodylidae
Description: U2 spliceosomal RNA (ENSCPRG00005002753.1)
Rfam family: U2 spliceosomal RNA
About the family: U2 is a small nuclear RNA (snRNA) component of the spliceosome (involved in pre-mRNA splicing). Complementary binding between U2 snRNA (in an area lying towards the 5' end but 3' to hairpin I) and the branchpoint sequence (BPS) of the intron results the bulging out of an unpaired adenosine, on the BPS, which initiates a nucleophilic attack at the intronic 5' splice site, thus starting the first of two transesterification reactions that mediate splicing.
Source: Rfam by way of RNAcentral